Molecule: long non-coding RNA, 2512 nt
Organism: Canis lupus familiaris (dog)
Lineage: Eukaryota; Metazoa; Chordata; Mammalia; Carnivora; Canidae
Exons: 4
Source: RefSeq, a predicted model, not a curated record
UCCUCUCAAUAGAUGCAGAAAAAGCACAUGACCAAGUACAGCACCCUUUCUUGAUGAAAAAACUCCACAGUGUAGGGAUAGAGGGAAAGUGAAAAGACAACACUGAAGGUUCAACCAGGAGUGGACACAGGUAGGGCAGUGAGGUCACUUCUUUGACAACAGAGCCCAACAGAACUCGGAACCCCUGCAACCAGGCACCCACAUUCUACUGCAGCCUCACAUCAGGCUCACUUGGCUGGAGACAUCUGCUAGUGAAAGAUGUUCUAUUACUGCCUGCUGACUUCCCGGGGCUAUGGCUUCCAGAAAGCCCAGGGACGUGGUGGCUCUUUCACAUGCUGUAGCCUUUGGUUUCACCAUCACACCCCAUGCCUCAGGGUGUUUGCCAGGAGGCGCCCUAAGGGUACAGCCGCAAGCCCAGAUAAAAUCUCUUCUUCAAAUGUGCAUGUGAUUCCGUGCUGCAGAUGGUUUGUCCUUGGUCCCAGAUCCUGGGUGUCCCCAUCAUGAUGGAGCAUUGCGAAGAACCACAUACAGCCUUUCUUUGGGCCACACUCAGUACUGAGUAAGAACAGGACUUUCCACGUGUGGAGUUGCUGCCUGAAGAGCCUGAGGAAACCUGACAAGUGUUGUGUUUCUUCCUGGUGCUGGGAAGUACUGUCCUAAUAAGUUGUUCUUAAUUUUGGAGAUGGUGCUCAGGCACGUCUAGACCUCUAGACACCUAAAUAACACUGAGUGUCUUUCAGAACACCUUCUCACUAGUGCAUUUCUUAUUAGGUUAAUAAAUUUAAUGUCCUUGGAGUGUUCUUCAAACAUAGUCAACUGGUGGGGUUUUGACCUCUUUGCUUUAUCCACUUUUAUUCCCACUGCUCUGAGUCUUUCAUCCUUCUUCUGCUACAUGCUCUGAAAUCCUGACACUUCAAUUCUCUUCACGUGGACCAUCACUCUUCCAAAACUUCUAGCAAAUUGAGCAGCAAAGGAGGACCAUGGACCCUGAGCCCUGAUGUGAGAUUCUUACCAGAGGAGUUUACUCCCAUUUCAUUACGUUCUUCCUCACUAACUUUGCAUGCAAUCCCCCUUGAUUCAAUCCAUUCUGAUUCGGUCUCAUGACUUCCAGAGCCUACCAUACACAUUGGGGGCAGCUACUUCAGCAUAUAGUACUUUUCUCUCUUUAGCCAUUCCAACACUUCCGCAUCAGGACUGGACCCUAGUGCCUGGUAUGAUGAUGAGGAGGUAUUAGAGUUGUUGCCUUGCAAGGCAGCAGCCUUUAUAAUGUUUUCAAGUACCAGCCUUCUGCCAGGAGGAAUGGGAGACUUCUGCAGAGUCCGAAGGCUCAAAGGAACCUCGAAUGAAAUUUACCUACGUAUCCCGACUCCCAAUUUCAGGGCCCCAUGCCUUUCUAAUCAAGUCCUACCAAGCCAAGACAACGUGAACAGGGUAAAAAAAGCUCAGCCAGUGUUGAGAAUUUCAACUUUUCUGGAGUUCUGUUCCUUAAAGAAAGUCUGGGUCUGAUUUUUACCAUUUCCUGCCCCCUGCCUAUAGAGGAAAAGUGUCUGCAUAUGGUGCCAAGGAGACAUUCUGGCUUCCACGUGUUUCUUUCUACUGUGAUUAAUCACCACCUACCUUUAACUGUCUUCUUCCAAUGCACUGAAUGAUCCCAACAAAGGCUAUCAAAUUCCAUAGUUCAAAAUAAUUGUUAUUUCUUCCAAAUGUUUAUAAUACCUGAUACUGCCAUUUCUAGUGUGUGCAAAUGUUCUCACAAAUGUAUUCUCUUCCAGCAUCCCAGCGCAGAUCAUCACCAGUGAGAGUUUUAAUAUCUCACUACAGUGGGCCCUCGCUGGCAGCCUCCAGGGGAUGAUGCAUCUCCAGAAUCCCAUUUUAGAGUUGGUAUCCUAAGAUCACAUCCUGUAUCAACUGAUGUGUGUUGAGUUCCCAGGGAAACAGACACCAACUUUCUGAGAUUUGCAUACAGAAAGUUUAUGGAGAGGUGCUCUGAAACAACACCCUUAAGAGAUGAGAGAAAUUGUUGUGGGUACAAGCAAAAGUUAAACAGUGAUGCAACUGCAAGAGGGAUCUCAUCAGCCUAUCCUACUGGGAAGCUCUGGAGCUGAGAUGCUCUUCAGAGAUGUCCCCACAGAAACCAGAAAGGCCUUUGUAAAGCUGGAUUCAUGAAUCUCUGGAUGCAUCUGUCCCCUUGGGAGGGGAUAAUCUUGAGUGGGCCAGCUUCCUUCAGGAGACAGUCAUUACUGGAGAGAGUCAAUGAAAUAUCAACCAACACGUCUGCACAUGCGGUCAGUCUCAAAGGCAGCCAGGCAGCCCACCACAACAUCCUCUCCUGGAGGGAGGCAGAAGAGGGGAAGCUUGCUCUCCUUGUUUGGCUGCCUCUCAAAAACCCUUUCCUUACUGCACACCUGAUGUCUCAGUGAUUGACCUUGCUGCACAUUGCACAGACAGACUUGGGACAGAGAGAGAGAGAAGCAGAGACACAGGCAGAGGGGGAAGCAGGCUCCAGGCCGGG